This 10150-nucleotide long non-coding RNA is filed under the name Marmota monax (woodchuck). Lineage: Eukaryota; Metazoa; Chordata; Mammalia; Rodentia; Sciuridae. The record is from RNAcentral.
GUAAUUAGGAAUUUUGAAAUCUCUUGAUGAGAAUUACUGUUUAAUUUGUUAAGUGUUAAAUAUUUGGAUUUAAAUCAGAAAUAGAAAAUUAGAUAUUGAGUGAAACUACAAGCAAAUUAAGUCCCAACGUAGCCUGGAGGUAGCAUGUGGCCAUAUAUUUUGGUCUCUGGGUAGCUGUGCAAUGUUCCUGAGCUACACGACUCCAUUUGGACCUUGGUGCCACCUGCUCCUGUGACUGCUUCCUAGCACUGGCCUCUGUGGACAGGUUGGUCUCUGUCUGGCUUCUGCAUCCGCUGUUAACCUGGUCACACUCCUGACAGGGCAUGGGAAUAGCUUCAUCUCUUCUGGAGAUCUAUGGAUUCUGAGACCCAUCUCAUACUUUCAAAUAUGUAUAUGUAUGAAGAAGUUGUAUGUAUGAAUAUGUAUAUGUAUGAAGAAGUUGUCAGGAUUAUGUAUACUAAGAAAGAAAAAAAUAUUAGCACUGAUUUACACUGUGCUUGCCUCUUAGAAUCAGGUUUUUUGUUUUUUUUUUUCAAAUCAGUGAUUUUUUAAAAGAACUUGUAUUAAAAUGAAACAUAGGGAUCAUCUGGAAGCUUAGCAGGAAAGAAAGAAAAAAUGGAGAUAAGUGGCAAAAUAUCUGUUAGUAUAUAAGAAAUGAAAUUGAAAUAUGUAGAGCUGUUAAGAUUUGGAUGUGAGGUGUCUCCAAAGCUCCCAAUAUUUUGCAAACAUUGAACUGGUGAGGAGAGAAGUGUAGCAAGAACAAUCCUGAGAGGUGUAAUAGGGACUCUUUCUUAGGCUCUUGUUUCAGUCAGAAUUUUGACUGCUGUGAGUAAAAGUCCUAACAAGAAUAAUUUUAGAGGAGGACAAGUUUAUUUGGGGACUCACAAUUUCAGAAGUCUCAGCUCUGUCUCACAUGUGAGAUGAUGCAAGAAGGUUUAGAGAAGAAAUGAUUGGGUUUUGAGAGCCUUAACCUAAUCAGUGAAUUAAUCCCCUGAUGGAAUUAACUGAAUGGUAACUGAAGGUGGGUAGAUGUGGCUGGAGUAGGUGGAUCCCUGGGGGCAUGCCUUUUGGGUAUAUAUUUGUAUCUGGUGAAUGGAGUCUCUCUCUGCUUCUUGAUCCACAUUAGUUGCUUUCCUCGGCCAUACUCUUCCUCUCAACUCUGAGGCAUGGAGCCAGCUGUCUAUGAGCUGAGACUUCUGAAAUUGGGAGUCCCCAAAUAAACUUUUCCUCUUCUAAAAUUAUUCUUGUUAGGACUUUUACUCACAGCAGUGAAAAAUCUGACUGAAACAAGAGCCUAAGAAAGAGUCCUUGGUACACCUCUCAGGAUUGCUCUGCCUACACUUCUCUCCUCACCAGUUCCAUGUUUGCAAAAUAAAGCAGUCUCCUGUGGGGGUUCAUUUCAAGACUUCUAGUGGAUUCCUGGAUAUUGCUGAUAGUAUUAAGCUUUACAUACAAAUACCACAUUCUGAUGAUAACGGGAGAUGGCUAAGGGGUGAGGAAUAGAAAUGUAAACAGCCUGAAAAUGCUGUACAGAGGGAUAUCUCACAUCCCAGGCUAGUUGGGGCAGGACAGCCAGGGAUUUCCUCACACUACUCAGAAUAAUACUACAUUUAAUAUUUAUUGAGCCCACAGUCAAAGCCAUGCAAUUGAAAAACUUAUACAUGGUUUACUUCUGGAAUUUUCCAUUUAAUAUUUUCAGACCGGCCACAGGUAGCUGAAUCCAUGGAAAGUGAAACAGUAGAGAGGAGGACUACUGUAUUCUUGCAUUUCAUUUGUCCCUCCAGUCCCUCAUUCUUACCCAAUAGCCCUUAAUGUGGUCAAAAAGGGAAAUUCUUUAAAGAACUGAAAUGUCUGCAGGCUUUAAGGGCAUUAACAUACAGAUUUUCAUUAAAAGAAGAAGAAGAAAAAAGAGGAAGAAGAGGAGGAGGAGGAGGAGGAGGAGGAAAACAAUGAAGUCAGUGUUUCUCAAUGGUCUUUCCAUCUUUGCAUUUUUUACCCUCCUCCAAAGCCAUUUUAGAAAGCUUCCUCAUCACUCUUCUCCUAAGAAAUUUGAAUACCAGAAAUUCUGUGUAUCUGUUUUAUGUUCUGUCAUCUUUGGAAGGGCCCCCAAAGGGCACAUGGUCCCAUCGAGUUAAGUGAACAGCUCUGCUUUCAAUACCAUCCUAAUUAGCAUGAAAUAGUAAAAAGAAUACUCCACUUGUAGUCACUUUCCUAUGGAGGAUUAGAAUACCAACUCUACUCUGUGUAUCUCUGUUAUUCUAGAAAAAGUAAUCAAUUUCCUUGAAUGUCAAUUUUCUCACAUAUAAAACGAGGAGGAGGUUAAAAUAACAAGUAAGCAAACAAACAGAACUAAAAAUAUCUUAUCUAUCAAUAUCACAGUGUGUUGUGAAAGAAAUUUUUCCUGAGAUAAUUUAAUUUAUCAAGUCAGGGCACUCCACAUGCUGGCCUUUCAUCUCUCUUCACAAAACCAGGGUGUCAUUAACAUAAAAAGAACCUCUAGUGUUUGCACAGUAGCAAUGCACUUUGGUAUUUUAGUUAAGCAAGCAGCCAGAUAAUAAAUUUCUUUACCAGGGACUUUGUCUAGGAAUAAGGGAGGAGAAUUUGUGCUUAAUGGAGGAAAAGCCAUGAAGGAAAGUCUUGGAGUAUUUUUCCCUUAGAAACUCUAAAACCAACAUUAAAUAUUGACUUCAGUGAAUUAUUUGCAAACAAGGGCUAGAUCAGGUGAUUGCAAACAAUUCCUCUACAAUUUAAUUCAUUGCUCUUCUAUAAGAAACCUAAUUAUCUUUAGAUACCCUAAGAUUUCAAUGUUAACUUUUAUUUCUAACCCUAUUUUGUUAAGUAUAACACCUAUAUGUUAGUAUUAUAAAACACAUUUAAUUUUCAACUCAACAACUUUGAAAAUAUACAAUUGGUUGAAAAAUAAUACUACAUUUAAUAUUUAUUGAGCCCACAGUCAAUGCCAGGCCCUGGACUAGUUGUAUUACUGUUAUGGUUUUCAGUCUUUUAGUAGCUCAUGGCAUUAGUGUUACAUACUCUAUUGGUUUUCUAUAGUAUGUCGAUCAUUUUCUUUUCAAUAGCCCCUGGCCUUGCUGUUUUAUUUCCCAUGCUUAUAGUUACCCUCAGUCAAUGAUGGUACAAAAAUAUUAAGUGGAAAGUUCCAGAAAUAAACAAUUCAUGAGUUUUAAAUUGCAUGCCAUUCUGAGAACCAUUCUCAUGCUGUCCUGUUCUGUAUCAUCUGGAUGUAAAUCUUCCUUUUGUCCAGAUUAUCCACACUGUAUACACUAACCAACCACCCAGUAGUUACUUAGUAGUUACUUCUUAUCAAAUAUAUAAUAUCAUGAUGCUUGUGUUCCCUUAAUAUGGACCCCAAAGCACAGGAGUAAUGAUGUUGAUAUUUUGGGUGUGUCAAAGAGAAGCUAUAAAGGGCUUCCUUUAAGUGAAAAGGUGAGAGUUCUUGACAUAAUAAAAAAAAUAAAAAAAUAAAAACAUAUGCUGAGGUUACUAAGAUCUAUAGUAAAUAUGACUGAGGGGUAGAGCUUUUGCCUAGCAUGUGUGAGGCACUGAGUUUGAUCCUCAGCACCACAUUUAAAAAUAAAUAAAUAAAAAGAUAUUGUGUUCGCCUACAACUAAAAAAUAUAUUUUUUUAAAGAAUGAAUGUGCUAUUUAUGGUAUUGUAAAGAAUAAAAAGAAAUUUGUGCUAGUUCUGCUGCUGCAUUUCAAAGUGCAAAAGUUAUGGCCCACCUGUGCAUAAGUGCUCAAAUAAGAUGGAGAAGGCAUUAAGAUUUGCCUAUGGAGGUACAGGAAAAAAACAGGGUUUUCUAUUAUCCAUGGUUUCAGACAUCCACUGGGGGAUAGAACUUAUCCCCCAGUGAUAGGGAAGGACCACUGGACUCUAAAUUCUGUGGUCAACAGUUUGGUCUGAGCUCAUCUGGGCAGUUCUUCUGCUGGAUCUUGCUUAGGGUCACUCAUAUGGCCUCAGUCCAAAAGUGGAUUGACUAGAGACUCCUGGUCUAGGGAGCCUUGCUGAAAAAUGGCUCUUUUCUGCUAUAUGUGGUCACUCUCUCCAGAGGUCUGCCUGGGCUAGGCCUCAUGGCUGCUGCAUACCAAGAGGGCAAACAUGGAGCCUGCAUGGCUGCCUGAACAUGAGAUUCAGAACUCACAGAUCACUUCCUGGAAGCGUACUAGUCAAAGCAAGUCACAGGCCAGCCCAGAUUUAGGCAGGGUGAGGAUGGAUUCCAUCUCUUCAUGGUAGAACUGUCAAGGAUUUGAGGCCUUUGAAAUCUGUUUCACAUGCUUUCACAGAUGAGUGAUCUAAGAUUCAGAGGGAUUGUGUAACACACCUAAGAUCUCAAAGCCAGCUGCUGUGCAGUAGCAGGGAUAAGCUCUGAAUUCAGAUUUUUAUGAUUUCCAUGCCUUCUUAACCACAUAGCAUUCAAUUGUGCUUCAUGCACAUCUGAAUUUCUCAAAGCACUUGUGGUCUGAAUUGAGCAUUGACAGUCGCCUCCCUCCAUCCCCAGGAGACAUCAUAUAUUGAAGACCUAAUCCUUGGUACCUCAGAAUGCGAAUGUAUUUGGACAUAGAUCUUUAAAGAGAUAAUUAAAUUAAAUGAGUUUAUUAGAUUGAGCCCAAAUUGACAUGAUGUUGUCCUUGGAACAAAAGGUUAGGAUAUAGACAGCAGGAAUAGGGGAGACCAGGUAAAGACGGAGGGCAACCAACUCUGCUGACACCUUGGUCUCAGAUUUCCAGUCUCCACAAUUGUGACAGAAGAAGUUUCUGUUGUUUCAGGGACCCAGUCUGGGGUGCAUGAUUAAAUGUUAUGGCACUGUCACACAGAUGGGCUCAUCAGUGUUUGUACUGACUUUACAGGGCUGGUAGGUUAAGUACUACAGUCACUCGUAUUUGAUCUGACAUACUUGAAAUCACUCAGUAGGGCCUGCUAGUGGGGAGACCCCAUCAGAAAAAGGUCUUUUUUGGGUUUGGGCACAAGAUUUUCUCUUCUAAAUCAAGACUCAUGAUUCAUUUCUAACCUCCAAUUUUCUCUUGUGGAUAUUCCUGCUGUUUUCUAUGAGAAACUGAUAAUUUGAUAAUCAAAGCACAUUAAAUCUGUUUUUUUUUCUUACUAGGAAGGUAAAAACUGUGCUAUUUGUUAUUUAUUUUCAGAACUCUCCUAGUUAACACUUUUUGCUUUUGCUUCUGCCUACUUUAUUAUUAUUUUUUUCUUCACUCCAGACCAAUUAAGUCAGAAUGUGCAUUUUGACAAGUUCCUGCAGGUGAUUUUGAUCACACCAAUGUUUGAGAAGAGCUGUAUUAGUGAACCUCAUGAAGAGUUUAUCUUUUACUUAGUUUGGCACCUACAACGUCCUGAGAAUAUUCUUACCUCAUAGACGGUCAUAAAUCUAAAAUAGUGAACUGCAAUUGUAGAGAUAACAAGCUAGAAGAGAGUUGGAUUUUAACCACCUUAUUCUAGCAGAAAGGAAUCAGGUAAGCUUUACAGGGUAUAGUAUUAAAGAGAAAGAAGAAUGGAAAUUGAAAAAGGGAAUGUCCAUUCUAGGGACAUGUCUGUCCUCUCUUGUUCUCUGAUUGCUCAUUUGUAGAGGAUAUGGUGAAAGCUUUGACAUUCCCAGUCCUGUCCUACAUCUGUCUCCAGCCUUACUAUUGUUGAAUGAGUGAUGUAGUUAAACCAUUUUUCAGUGCUAGACAUAGGAGGGGUUUUUCCUUGCUGAAUGUGCCAAGCCUGGGUCCUUUAAAGAUUUUUGUCAAUUAUGUGAAUGAAAUGAUAGAACAAAGGUUCUUGUGUUCCUAAGAACUCAAAUCUGGGAGAAUGUGGUAAGGGCCACUAGUUAUCCCUCACAUCUACUUUUAUCCUCUUAAUGACAGAAGUGUUCUCUUUGGUCUGACACAUAGCUGCCCAAAAUACAGGUCAAAAUUUUCCGCCUUCCUUGCAUCUAGAUGUGGCCACAUGGCUAAGUUCUUACUAACAGCAGUAUAGGCCAAAGGAUUUUAUGGAAGUGAAACUUUUGGUGGGAGGAGGAGAGGGCCACCUUAAACGGACUGGUUCUUGGUUCUUUCUGGCUUCCUGUUGGCUGGGAAAUGGAUGUGACAGCUGGAGAUCAUUUUCAUCUUGGACUAUGAAGUGGAAGAGGUAUGUAAGUGGAAAGAACCCAGUGGAAGGGACCAGGGAUCCUGAUGAUCAAGACUUGUCACACUCUAGUCCUGAAGAGCCUACCUCUAAUCCUUGUUCACAUAAGAUAGAAAUAAGUUUCUAUUUUUUUAAAACUCACAAUAUCUGAGUGUCAUAUUAUUCACAACCAGCAUUAAUUCUAGCCAAUCCCUAAGGCUUGCUAUGUAUUAAAUAAUAAGAUCAAAAUUGGAACCACUGAGAUAAUGGUUAAAAUGUUAUAAAAUAAAAUGGAAAAAGCGAAAUUUCAAUGCUUUUCUUUUUAAAUUUUUUAUUUGUAGAAGGACACAAUGCCUUUAUUUCAUUUAUUUAUUUAUUUAUUGCAGUGAUGAAGGUCUAACCCAGUGCCUCACAUUUGCUAGGCAAAUGCUAUAUCACUGAGCCACAACCCCAACCCUUCAAUACUUUUCUUUAAAAGAUAUAUCCAUAUAUAGAAUUGAGGAGAACUGGCCAAGUAAUAAUUUCCAUAUAAAAGACUUGUGCAUGUGAGGAGAGGAGAGUUGGCAGACACAAAUAUCCUGUGGGUAAAUAGGGUAAUAAGACUGUUUAAGGCUAAUGCAUGCUAGGCUAAGUUAAAUUUUACCCAGACCAAAGCAGGUUAGUACUCUCAAUUCUCCACACUGGCACAGCACAUUGGAGUAUUGUGUUCUUUUCCAGGCCCCAUAUUCUUUGGAAGGAGAGCGACAAACUACAGCUGCUAAUGGAAGGGGCUGUGAAGUAUUAUCCCAGAGAGGGAAAGAUGCAGAGGACACUUAAUCAUCACCCCUAGAUAUUCAACGACUGGUCACAUGGAAGACAGAAUAUGACUGCUUAUUCACUUCUGCUCCCAGGCUCCCAGGUAAGGGUCACAUUUACCACCAAUGAAUGAAAGGUACUGGGGGCAAGCUUUGGCUCCACUUAAGUAAUGUCUCAAUAUCAAACACUACCUCAUGUGUUAAGUUCAGUCAUCAUCAAAUCACAAGUGCUCACUCAAAUUCACAAUAGUUAAGCUAUGGAAACAACCUAGAUGCCCUUCAACAGAUGAAUGGAUAAAGAAAAUGUGGUAUAUACACACAAUGGAAUGUUACUCAGCCAUAAAGAAGAAUGAAAUUAUGGCAUUUUCUGGUAAAUGGAUGGAACUGGAGACUAUCAUGCUAAGUGAAAUAAGCCAACCCCCCAAAACCAAAGGUCAAAUGUUCUCUCUGAUAUGGGGAUGCUGACUCACAAUAGGCCAGGGAUGAGGGGGGGAAGAAAGGAGGAGUGGGGGUUCACUGAGUUGGACAGGGGAGAAUGGGGGAAAGGGAGGAGGUAUGGGAAUGGGAAAGGCGGUAGAACGAAUCAGACAUAACCUCCCUAUGUUCAUAUAUGAAUACCCAACCAGUGUUAACUCCACAUCCAUCAUGUUCUACCCCAAGAAUGGGAAGUUCCAUGUAUGUUUCAUAUCAUACAUGCUUCAUGUAUGUUUUUCCUAACUCUAGCAAUAACAACAAGACUCUGUGUGGUAUGGCAGGAGAAAAACCCACUGGACUUAUCUAGGGCCCUGAAGGUAACAAAAAAAAUCAUGAAACAAGUAGAGAAACGGAUCAGAACAUCUACAUUUAAAUUUUGAAUCUUCAGCUUCCUAGUUGUAGGGUCUGGGACAGGACAUGGAGUCUGUUUGAACUUUACUUUCUUCAUGAGUAAAACCCAAAUAAUUAUGAACAACUUUCAGGGUCGUGAUGGCUAAAAAUAAAUAUCUUAAGCCCUGUUAAUGACAGGUACUCAAAACUGGUAGUCACCAUUAACUGCUGGCUAAGAUGUGAACCCAAGGCAGGUAUUUUUUGCAGCUUGGUAGUUAGAAAAAUUUAAACACUAGAGAUCUUAUAGGAUUUAAAGGAGAGAUUGAAAUGCAUUUAGUCUAUGCCUCAUUUUUAUAAUUUUUGUAAUGUUUUAUUUAGGAAUUGUCUAGAAUUUUAAAACUUUAUUCUUUUGGAUGAAAUAUAUAUCAUAAGGACUGGGAAACUGAAAAAUCAUAUUUCCCAGACACAUGGAACCUUAGGGUUGUGGGUGUGUUUUUGAUGUAUUCCUGCAAGACUAAAUUAGUGAAAAAAUAAAGAAAGACUGUGCUAUACAGGAGGUGGCAUGCGAGUGUGGGAGAAAUAGAGAUUAAUAAACAAUCUUCUGCACCAACCCUGAAAAUCUCUGCACAGAGAAGAAAACUGAAUUACUAUUGAAUAAGCCUUAACUAGAAUGCAAUACACACUGUGCAAUUUACUAGAGUUUGCAAAGGCAGAAAGAAAUCUCAUCUUUUAAUAUAGCCAAGCAGAGACAGCCCAUUCCACCUGUUUUCAAGAAACAACUUGUGUGCAAGCAAAAAGACACUUUGGCACUGUUUAUCACACAUAGUUGAUCCAAAUUUCACCUGCUGUUGGGCUAGCCACCUGCGUUUGCUCAUUGCUGUUAGCCCAAGGAAAACUGAAUGUCUUAUAUCUUCAUGACAGGAGGUAGCUUUGCAGCUCAGAAACAAAUGCCUGAGUUUUCUGUCUCCCUGUACCACCCCCAUCCCACUAAAGCCUGAGAGACAGAGGCUCUCGCUUCCUUGAUGGUUACAUUUCAGAGCUGGUUUUCAUGUCCUUGAGAAACAUUUCUGGGUUAUAAAAUUGGUAAGAAUCUUAUUCAUUAUUUAAAGAGUUACAAAUAUUUCAAAAAGGCAGAGAAAUUAUGAUAGGUUUUCUAAAAUAAGUACUCGAAGGGAGAGAAAUCACUUUUUUUCUUGGUACUAUAUAGUCCUAAAUCCAGUAAUUAAAAAUUUUAAUAACAUAUAUAAGCUUCGAAUUAGUCAAUUUUUAUUACUAAUUGUAUUUGUUAGCCUCUCAUUACUAUAACACAAUUCUUGAGAUCAUCAGCUUCUAAAGGGAAAAUGCUAUUUUGGCUCACAGGUUUGAAGUUUCCUCUUCAUGACUGGUUGACCCUGCUGUUUCAGGCCUGUGGUAUCAGAACACAUCAUGGCAGGAGCACUUGGUGGAGCAAAACUGCUUGUCUCAUGGUCUUGAAACAAGAGACUCAGGUGGAGAUGCAUCUCCUGAUCCCCUUUGAUGACAUUGCCCUCUAUGAUCUAAAGACCUCUCACCAGGCCCCACCUCCUAGAGGUUUCACCACCUCCCAAUAGCACCACCCUGGAGAACAAAGCUUUGUGCUUUGAGGGGACAUUUAAGAUUCAAACUAUAGCACCUGGCCUUUCAUAAACAUUGCUUUCUGUAAGGGAGCAAUUUGAAGGACUCACUUACUAUACACUUAGUCUCCUACACAUAUGUAAAUUCAUAUCUAUGUGUUCACUUUGAGAGGAAUGUUAUAAUUUUUUGAGUUUGUUUUAGGAAGAGUUUGUCUCUUUAUGUAUACUUGAAUAAAAGUAAUGAAUAUGAAUGUGAUAUUUCUUUUCUGUGCAUAUAUUCUUAGAAUUAAGGGAUGUAAAUUAAAACUACACGAAGAUAACACUAACUCCCCAAGAACAGUGACAAUUUAAAAUAACUGAUAAUUCCAAGUGUUGAUAAGGAUUCAGAGCAUUGGUAGUGAUACACAAUCUCUUUGGAAAAAUUAUUUUAUGUCUACAAAAUUUGAUCAGAUUCAUUCUCUAUGACAUUUAUAUUCUGAGGCAUCUAACAGAAAUGCACAUGUACACCAAAAGAUAUUCAAGAAUGUUUAAGAUGAUACCAUCUGAAUAGGCUCAAGCUGAAAACAUUUCAAACUUCAGUAAAGAAUUGAUGAAUAAACAAAUUGUGAUAUAUUUAUACAAUGGAAUAAUGCAGCAACAAAGCAAAUACCUCUACACGCAAUAACCUGGUGGACUUCAGAAAUAUAACGGUGAGCUAUAGAACCCAUAUACAAAAUAAUACAUAGUAUAUAGCUUCAUUUAUUUUUAUAUAUUUGUACAGAAUACGAAAAAUUAUUCUGUUGUGUUAAAAUUCAGGACAGUUGCUCUUUUUUGAGAGGUGAGGGAGAUACAGCUUGAGACGG